GGCGAACGGGUGAGUAACACGUGGGCAACCUACCCUCGAGUUGGGAACAACACCCCCAACGGGGUGCUAAUACCGAAUGACAUCACAUCGACGUAGGUCGGUGUGAUCAAAGGCAGCCUCUGCUUGCAAGCUGUCGCUUGAGGAUGGGCCCGCGUCCCAUUAGCUAGUUGGUGAGGUAACGGCCCACCAAGGCGAUGAUGGGUAGCUGGUCUGAGAGGAUGGUCAGCCACACUGGGAUUGAGAAACGGCCCAGACUCCUUCGGGAGGCAGCAGUCGAGAGGCUUUGGCAAUGGGGGAAACCCUGACCAAGCGACGCCGUGUGGGUGAUGAAGGCCUUCGGGUUGUAAAGCCCUGUUAAGGGGGAAGAAUCGCCUCGAGGUUAACAGCCUCGAGGUUUGACGGUACCCCUAGAGGAAGCUCCGGCAAACUCCGUCCCAGCAGCCGCGGUAAUACGGGGGGUGCGAGCGUUGUUCGGAAUUAUUGGGCGUAAAGAGCGUGUA
RNAcentral lists this ribosomal RNA (500 nucleotides) under uncultured Pseudomonadota bacterium. Its description in RNAcentral is "bacterial SSU rRNA". It matches the Rfam family "Bacterial small subunit ribosomal RNA", at positions 97 to 573 of the family's 1533-position model. The record is from RNAcentral. Lineage: Bacteria; Pseudomonadati; Pseudomonadota.